AUUGAACGCUGGCGGCAUGCCUUACACAUGCAAGUCGAACGGCAGCACGGGAGCAAUCCUGGUGGCGAGUGGCGAACGGGUGAGUAAAGUAUCGGAACGUGCCCAGUCGUGGGGGAUAACGUAGCGAAAGUUACGCUAAUACCGCAUACGAUCUAUGGAUGAAAGCGGGGGAUCGCAAGACCUCGCGCGAUUGGAGCGGCCGAUAUCAGAUUAGGUAGUUGGUGGGGUAAAGGCUCACCAAGCCGACGAUCUGUAGCUGGUCUGAGAGGACGACCAGCCACACUGGGACUGAGACACUGCCCAGACUCCUACGGGAGGCAGCAGUGGGGAAUUUUGGACAAUGGGCGAAAGCCUGAUCCAGCCAUGCCGCGUGCAGGAUGAAAGCCCUCGGGUUGUAAACUGCUUUUGUACAGAACGAAAAGGUUUCUACUAAUACUAGGAGCUCAUGACGGUACUGUAAGAAUAAGCACUGGCUAACUACGUGCCAGCCGCCGCAGUAA
This 500-nucleotide ribosomal RNA is filed under the name uncultured bacterium. RNAcentral describes it as "partial 16S ribosomal RNA". It matches the Rfam family "Bacterial small subunit ribosomal RNA", at positions 30 to 523 of the family's 1533-position model. The record is from RNAcentral.